AUACGGAGGAUCCGAGCGUUAUCCGGAUUUAUUGGGUUUAAAGGGAGCGUAGGCGGGAGAUCAAGUCAGCUGUGAAAUGUAGGCGCUCAACGUGUGCACUGCAGUUGAAACUGGUUUUCUUGAGUGCGUAAGGGGCAGGCGGAAUUCGUCGUGUAGCGGUGAAAUGCUUAGAUAUGACGAAGAACUCCGAUCGCGAAGGCAGCUGGCCGGGCCGCGACUGACGCUGAAGCUCGAAGGUGCGGGUAUCGAACAGGAUUAGAUACCCUGGUAGUCCGCACAGUAAACGAUGGAUACUCGCUGUCGGCGAUAUACGGUCGGUGGCCAAGCGAAAGCGUUAAGUAUCCCACCUGGGGAGUACGCCGGCAACGGUGAAACUCAAAGGAAUUGACGGGG
RNAcentral lists this ribosomal RNA (393 nucleotides) under uncultured bacterium. RNAcentral's name for it is "partial 16S ribosomal RNA". It matches the Rfam family "Bacterial small subunit ribosomal RNA", at positions 523 to 918 of the family's 1533-position model. The record is from RNAcentral.